AUUGAACGCUGGCGGCAUGCCUUACACAUGCAAGUCGAACGGCAGCGGACCUUCGGGUGCCGGCGAGUGGCGAACGGGUGAGUAAUAUAUCGGAACGUACCUUUCAGUGGGGGAUAACGUAGCGAAAGUUACGCUAAUACCGCAUAUUCUGUGAGCAGGAAAGCAGGGGAUCGCAAGACCUUGCGCUGAUUGAGCGGCCGAUAUCAGAUUAGCUAGUUGGUGAGGUAAAGGCUCACCAAGGCGACGAUCUGUAGCGGGUCUGAGAGGAUGAUCCGCCACACUGGAACUGAGACACGGUCCAGACUCCUACGGGAGGCAGCAGUGGGGAAUUUUGGACAAUGGGCGCAAGCCUGAUCCAGCCAUGCCGUGUGAGUGAAGAAGGCCU
RNAcentral lists this ribosomal RNA (385 nucleotides) under uncultured bacterium. RNAcentral describes it as "bacterial SSU rRNA". It matches the Rfam family "Bacterial small subunit ribosomal RNA", at positions 30 to 417 of the family's 1533-position model. The record is from RNAcentral.